This 71-nucleotide transfer RNA is filed under the name Camelus bactrianus (Bactrian camel). It matches the Rfam family "tRNA". From Rfam's summary of the family: Transfer RNA (tRNA) molecules are approximately 80 nucleotides in length. Their secondary structure includes four short double-helical elements and three loops (D, anti-codon, and T loops). RNAcentral also lists the same sequence under 2 other names. The record is from Rfam by way of RNAcentral. Lineage: Eukaryota; Metazoa; Chordata; Mammalia; Artiodactyla; Camelidae.
GAGGGUAUAGCUCAACAGUAGAGCAUGUGCUUAGCAUGCAUGAGGUCCUGGGUUCAGUCUCAGUGCCUCCG